RNAcentral lists this ribosomal RNA (375 nucleotides) under uncultured archaeon. RNAcentral's name for it is "bacterial SSU rRNA". It matches the Rfam family "Archaeal small subunit ribosomal RNA", at positions 350 to 727 of the family's 1478-position model. The record is from RNAcentral.
CCACAAUGUACGGAAGUACGAUGGGGUUAUCUCGAGUGCAGUCCGAUAAGGGCUGCUUUUCCAUAGAGUAAUAUCCUGUGGGAAUAAGAGGGGGGCAAGACUGGUGUCAGCCGCCGCGGUAACACCAGCCCCUCGAGUGGUGGGGACUAUUAUUUGGCCUAAAGCGUCCGUAGCUGGCUGUAUCCGUCCCCCGUUAAAUCCAGCGUCCUAAGCGUUGGACCGCGGGUGAUACCAUACAGCUAGAGGGUGGGAUAGGUGAGCGGUAUUUCUGGGGUAGGGGCGAAAUCCUUUGAUCCCAGGAGGACCACCAGUGGCGAAGGCUGCUCACUAGAACACGCCUGACGGUCAGGGACGAAAGCUGGGGCAGCGAACCGG